UGGGGAAUCUUGCGCAAUGGCCGAAAGGCUGACGCAGCGACGCCGCGUGUGGGAGGACGCCCUUCGGGGUGUAAACCACUGUUGCCCGGGACGAACAUCCUCUUUCGAGAGGACUGACGGUACCGGGUGAGGAAGCACCGGCUAACUCCGUGCCAGCAGCCGCGGUAAUACGGAGGGUGCGAGCGUUGUCCGGAAUCACUGGGCGUAAAGGGCGCGUAGGCGGCGCGGAUAGUCGGCGGUGAAAGCCCGGAGCUCAACUCCGGGUCGGCCGUCGAUACUUCCGGGCUUGAGCACUGUAGAGGCAGAUGGAAUUCCGGGUGUAGCGGUGGAAUGCGUAGAGAUCCGGAAGAACACCGGUGGCGAAGGCGGUCUGCUGGGCAGUUGCUGACGCUGAUGCGCGACAGCGUGGGGAGCAAACAG
RNAcentral lists this ribosomal RNA (420 nucleotides) under uncultured bacterium. Its description in RNAcentral is "bacterial SSU rRNA". It matches the Rfam family "Bacterial small subunit ribosomal RNA", at positions 355 to 775 of the family's 1533-position model. The record is from RNAcentral.